AUGUUAACCAUCAGUGGGGUCCAAGCCGAGGACGAGGCUGUCUAUUACUGUGGUGGUAGCGACAGCAGCAGUUGUGAUUGGGGUUCCCUGGUCCAGGCGGCGGUGACUCAGGAGCCUUCCUCGCUGUCGGUGAACCCAGGAGAAACCGUCAAGAUCACCUGCUCUGGGGUUAGCAGCAGCGGCGAUGUUGGCUGGUACCAGCAGAAG
Molecule: non-coding RNA, 207 nt
Organism: Pelecanus crispus (Dalmatian pelican)
Lineage: Eukaryota; Metazoa; Chordata; Aves; Pelecaniformes; Pelecanidae
Source: the annotation of a RefSeq genome assembly